This 460-nucleotide ribosomal RNA is filed under the name uncultured bacterium. RNAcentral describes it as "partial 16S ribosomal RNA". It matches the Rfam family "Bacterial small subunit ribosomal RNA", at positions 338 to 795 of the family's 1533-position model. The record is from RNAcentral.
CCUACGGGUGGCAGCAGUGAGGAAUAUUGGUCAAUGGACGAGAGUCUGAACCAGCCAAGUAGCGUGAAGGAUGACUGCCCUAUGGGUUGUAAACUUCUUUUGCCGGGGAGCAAGGGCCGGGACGCGUCCCGGCCCGGCGAGUACCCGGAGAAAAAGCAUCGGCUAACUCCGUGCCAGCAGCCGCGGUAAUACGGAGGAUGCGAGCGUUAUCCGGUUUUAUGGGGUUUAAGGGGUGCGUAGGGGGGCUUUUAAGUCUGCGGGAAAAAUGCGGGGCUAAACCCCGUCCGGCCGUUGAACCUGGGGGCCUUGAGUGGGCGAGAAGAAGGCGGAAGGCGUGGUGUAGCGGUGAAAUGCAUAGAUAUCACGCAGAACCCCGAUUGCGAAGGCAGCCGUCCGGCGGCCUACUGACGCUGAGGCACGAAAGUGCGGGGAUCGAACAGGAUUAGAUACCCGAGUAGUC